UUAAAGUUUUAUUCUAGCUUAAAGGAUUAAUUUAUAGAUUAUUUUAUAUGUAAAUUUUAGUAUGGAAAUUUUAUGAUUUAAAUAGUUAUAAAAAUAUUAUAUUCGCAGUAAUAAAUAUUAAAUAUUAAUAAAAAUUAGAUUUAAAAAUUUAUAAUAGUAUUAACAAAAUUUGUGCCAGCAGUUGCGGUUAUACAGAUAAUAUAAUUAAUUUUUUUUAGCUUAUAAUUAAUUGGUUAAUUAAAAUACAUAAAGAAAUUUAUUAAGUGAAAUUUUAAAUUUUUAAAAAAUUUUAUAUUAAAUUUUGAGGUUAUUAAAUUUAGAAUUAAACUAGGAUUAGAUACCCUAUUAUUAUAAAUGUAAAAAUAAAAGCUUAAUUAUUAAUAGUUAUGUUCUUAAAAAUUAAAGAAUUUGGCGGUAUUUUAGUCUAUUUAGAGGAACCUGUCCUAUAAUUGAUAAUCCACGAUUUAUUGUACUUAAUUUUUAGUUUGUAUAUCGUCGUAGGUUGAAUAUUUUUAUAGAAAUUAAAUAUUCAAGAUUUUUAAUAAAAAAAAAAAUCAGAUCAAGGUGCAGCUUGUAGUUAAGAAGAGAUGGGUUACAAUAAAUUAAUUUAGAUGGUGAAUUAUUUGAAAAAUAAUUUUUAAAGUGGAUUUAAAAGUAAUAAGAUUAAAUUUAAUUUUAUGAUUUUAGCUCUAGAAUAUGCACAUAUCGCCCGUCGCUCUCAAAUAAAUUGAGAUAAGUCGUAACAUAGUAGAUGUACUGGAAAGUGUAUCUAGUUAGAC
Molecule: non-coding RNA, 779 nt
Filed under: Pselaphinae sp. 9 EF-2015
Lineage: Eukaryota; Metazoa; Arthropoda; Insecta; Coleoptera; Staphylinidae
Source: RNAcentral